GACGAACCGGACGAACGUUAUUCGGAAUCACUGGGCUUAAAGAGUACGUAGGCGGCCAGGUAAGCGAGGUGUGAAAUCCCACGGCUCAACCGUGGAACUGCGCUUCGAACUACAUGGCUUGAGGGAAGCAGAGGUAAGCGGAACUGAUGGUGGAGCGGUGAAAUGCGUUGAUAUCAUCAGGAACACCAGUGGCGAAGGCGGCUUACUGGGCUUUUUCUGACGCUGAGGUACGAAAGCUAGGGUAGCGAACGGG
This 253-nucleotide ribosomal RNA is filed under the name uncultured bacterium. RNAcentral's name for it is "partial 16S ribosomal RNA". It matches the Rfam family "Bacterial small subunit ribosomal RNA", at positions 524 to 776 of the family's 1533-position model. The record is from RNAcentral.